This 6448-nucleotide long non-coding RNA is filed under the name Salmo salar (Atlantic salmon). RNAcentral describes it as "lncRNA (ENSSSAG00000088813.1)". Lineage: Eukaryota; Metazoa; Chordata; Actinopteri; Salmoniformes; Salmonidae. The record is from RNAcentral.
UUGGUUAGUAAUGUGUGACUGAGCUUCCUGAUGCUGUAUGUAUGGGGGAAGUUGGUUAGUAAUGUGUGACUGAGCUUCCUGAUGCUGUAUGUAUGGGGGAAGUUGGUUAGUAAUGUGUGACUGAGCUUCCUGAUGCUGUAUGUAUGGGGGAAGUUGGUUAGUAAUGUGUGACUGAGCUUCCUGAUGGAUGCUGUAUGUAUGGGGGAAGUUGGUUAGUAAUGUGCUUCACAACAUGCAAGAGAGAGCAGGAACAAAUUUAUGCUGGAAUUUCAGGAAUGAGCUGACUUAACUAGCGAGCUUGAUGGUCACUGUUUGACCUAUUUGGAAUCCCCAUAUAAUCAUGGCUUCUUUUUACAGUGUCAUCGUUCACGGUUGUUCACCUUUGAUAGGCCUCAGGCUACAAACCAGCUGACAGAUUGACUGGAGCCACAUUUGUUGCAUGCUUGAUACAGAGCAUAUUUAUGAUUAGCUUGAGUUGAUCAUACCACCCAGCCAUCUCUGAUCUUCUGUCACAUAUCACGUUACAUCUCAAAACAACAUCUUUGGAACAAGUGCAAAAACGAAACAUGCUAAUCUUCUUCACUAAUUAGACAGGAGAUUUUGCUCAUACUACUUGACUAUAGGCCUACACAACAUCUAAGAUGAACCAGUCAGGGAUGACAUGAUUACCAGUCACUUUGAAUAUGAAAGUGUGCCGCUGAGAGUGAAAUGAUACUAAUCUAACGCACAGCAGAGAUGUACAAACUCUGACCACGUCCUCUUCCGAUGCCGUACAGUACAAACCCACCUGCACCAGAUAGACACGGGCCAUUCACACAGACACCGUGAAGUCAGGCGUCGCAUAGUGUGAAAGCUGCAAGGCUGGAGUAAAGCUAUAGUUCACUUCACGCUCUUGAGUAAAAACAGUAAUGGCCAAUUCUCAUUCAUUUGUUUCAGUUGGAGUGGUAGUGUUUGUACAGUGAUUGAGUCAGUGCGGAGUGGACAGAUGCAUUAACAUGGGAAUUACGUGAAUCGGUGGGUGUGAAUGAAGUGAAGGGUGCAGUCGUCCCGACCCGUUAAAGAAGCCGAGCCAUGAUGGAUAGUGUAGAUAGAAUGGUGGUGUGGCAGAUGUACAGUUGAAGUCGGAAGUUUACAUACACUUAGGUUGGAGUCAUUAAAACUCGUUUUUCAACCACUCCACAAACUUCUUGUUAACAAACUAUAGUUUUGGCAAGUCGGUUAGGACAUCUACUUUGUGCAUGACACAAGUAAUUUUUCCAACAAUUGUUUACAGACAGAUUAUUUCACUUAUAAUUCACUGUAUCACAAUUCCAGUGGGUCAGAAGUUUACAUUCCCUAAGUUGACUGUGCCUUUAAACAGCUUGGAAAAUUCCAGAAAAUGAUGUAAUGGCUUUAGAAGCUUCUGAUAGGCUUAUUGACAUAAUUUGAGUCAAUUGACAUAAUUUGAGUCAAUUGGAGGUGUACCUGUGGAUGUAUUUCAAAGCCUACCUUCAAACUCAGUGCCUCUUUGCUUGACAUCAUGGGAAAAUCAAAAGACCUCAGGGGGGGAAAAAAGUAGACCUCCACAAGUCUGGUUCAUCCUUGGGAGAAAUUGCCAAAUGCCUGAAGGUACCACGUUCAUCUGUACAAACAAUAGUACGCAAGUAUCAACACCAUGGGAUUACGCAGCCGUCAUACCGCUCAGGAAGGAGACGUGUUCUGUCUCCUAGAGAUGAACGUACUUUGGUGCGAAAAGUGCAAAUCAAUCCCAGAACAACAGCAAAGGACCUUGUGAAGAUCAACAUAACCUGAAAGGCCGCUCAGCAAGGAAGAAGCCACUGCUCCAAAACCGCCAUAAAAAUGCCAGACUACGGUUUGCAACUGGACAUGGGGACAAAGAUCGUGCUUUUUGGAGAAAUAUCCUCUGGUCUGAUGAAACAAAAAUGGAACUGUUUGGCCAAAAUGGUCAUUGUUAUGUUUGGAAGAAAAAAGGGGAAGCUUGCAAGCCGAAGAACACCACCUCAACCGUGAAGCACAGGGGUGGCAGCAUCAUGUUGUGGGGGUGCUUUGCUGCAGGAGGGACUGGUGCACUUCACAAAAUAGAUGGCAUCAUGAGGAUCGAAAAUUAUGUGGAUAUAUUGAAGCAACAUCAAGACAUCAGUCAGGAAGUUAAAGCUUGGUCGUAAAUGGGUCUUCCAAAUGGACAAUGACCCCAAGCAUACUUCCAAAGUUGUGGCAAAAUGGCUUAAGGACAACAAAGUCAAGGUAUUGGAGUGGCCAUCACAAAGCCCUGACCUAAAUCCUAUAGAAAAUGUGUGGGAAGAACUGAAAAGCUGAAAUAAAUAUUUCUCUACUAUUAUUCUGACAUUUCACAUUCUUAAAAUUAAGUGGUGAUCCUAACUGACCUAAGACAGGGAAUUUUUACUAGGAUUAAAUGUCAGGAAUUGUGAAAAACUGAGUUUAAAUGUAUUUGGCUAAGGUGUAUGUAAACUUCCAACUUCAACUGUAUAUAGGUCUGGAAUCAAGUUCACACAUUGUAGUGCCAGCAUGUGUUUUUAAAGAGAAACAAAUGUAACAAUGCAAUGGUCGCUGCACCUUUGAUGAUUUCCAUAAAACAGUUUCUCAUCCAGUGAUCUGUGAGCUACAGGCUUACUUGUGGGGGGUGCUAGCAUAACCAGAGGUGACUCCCCUGACAGAUUUAAUAUUGGCUCACAAUAUAUAGAUUUUUUUUAUUAAAUAAAUUAACUUGAUUAGUUGGUUGUAUUGUCUCCUGUUAUUUAGAAAUGUUGAAUAUGUAGGAGGUUCCUGGGAUCGAACCUGAUUGGUUAUAUCACCAUUACAUGGUAAAUAACAAGUGCAUAGCCUACAGUUGAAGCCCGCAAUUUGGCAAAUAUGAAAUAGCUGAUGUCAAGUUGCGACUGUCAGUGAGAAGCAUCUAAAAUAGCCCUAGGCCUAUCGCAAUACUUCAAAAUUAAAUUGUGGAAUAAACACAAAAGUCACAUAUAGUCCAAACGAUUUAAAUGUUGUUUAUUCCAUUAGUAGGAUACACCAGGACUAAUCUCUUGGCAGUAGCGGAGAGCGUCGGCCAUAUCUCUGGUGAGUGCGCAUAUUCACUGUCUUUAUCAUUGGGCGAGUCAGUGCCACUGGAAAGUUUAGGACAAUAAUUUCCUCCUCAAUUGUUGAUGGACGUCAUAUUGUACAUUUUGUCUCCCCUUUUCAUAGGCCUAGAUUACAUGGUUACAUUGAAGACAAGGUUGAUUUUAUUGAUCUCAGUUUGCCAGUGUCAGCAGAGUAGCCUAGGCCUAACCUGCAAUUUUUGUAGUAUAUUUACAUGUUUAUUUAUUCAUUUAGUAGACGCUCUUAUCCAGAGCGAUUUACAGUAGUGAAUGCAUACAUUUCAUGCAUUUUUUUUGUACUGGUCCCCCGUGGGAAUCGAACCCACAACCCUGGCGUUGCAAACACCAUGCUCUACCAACUGAGCUACACGGGACUAGUAGGCUAUUAAAGAUUCUGAUAAUGUCCCCAGACAUGUAAAGUGUUGUAGAAUUGCAUGAAAUAUGAUUAUCAGCUAGGGCUGAGCUACUUCCCCAAACAUGAAACUCAAGCGCCACCUAUGAUGCUGUGUAUUUCAUUGUUUGUUUACGGUCGGUCGGAUCAGAUAGUUGGUCUGUUUUGUCAGCGGCCCAGUCACCUUUACUCAUUCCCAGACAUCUGCCUUCAUCACUGAUCAUUACUAAAGUGAAAGCGAGAUUAAACGUUUAAUUAUCGCUUGAAAUAUGCCUAAAGCGUUAUUGUAAACUGCAAACAUAUCCGAAACGACAGGAUUUAUUAUAACGUCUUGGGAUUCGACAAAGCCUCCACCUUCGAAAAUGACAGUCCAUUGAAACGUCUCUCUAGCUCCGCGGCCUUCAUAACUAACCAAGCACUGCGUCCUCGCAAAGUAAGCUAAACUAAUUAUUCACUUGCAUUUUCACGGGUCUAACUAAAUCUAUGUAUUGUGCAAAUGACAACUUCAUCUGAACGGUGAAUUACGAGUGAAUUGGGCCGAUUUAAGAAGCUUCGAAAACUUGGCCAGAGACUUUUUACGAACGGGUGAGGGGGGAUCCCAACAUGGACUCCGCAACAUGCCACGGCGGGUCCGUGCACAGGUCGACAAUCAAUCCACAUUGACAUAUUCCCAGCAAACUAGACACAGUAAGUAUAAACAACACUUUUGUAUCAACUUCUCAAACAUAACUGGAGAACGUGUUGAAUACUGUAUAGCUGCAAUGCAAUGAACUCACGUCAGCUAGCUAACUGUCAAAUGACGGCUAAUGUUAGCAAUAGAACUAGCUAGUUAAAUGUAUUUAACAACUUGUAUGACUUUUGUUCACCGCUUAGUAAUUGACAACAGACCGAACAACUGGCGAAGACAACCAGCAAGUUCAUGAUCAAGUUCACCCAGACAAAAGUGGUCGACUUUUUGUUUUGCACAAACUUACCCGAAUCUCCAGGGGUUUUCAUUUUGAGUGUUGCAAGCUAGUUAACGUUAGCUAGCGAGCUUGGUGGAUCUCAAGUCAGUAGCGUUUGUGGAAGGAAAAGUCGUCUCCCUCUGAGCCCUUCCUUUGGUUCGGAUUGGAAAAACGAGGGGGGGACAGGCUAACGUUAAACUUUCCACCGUUGCUCCACUCGCGGGCCCCUUUGCUUCCACUUUAUUUCCCAAUAGCCCCUUCCUCAACUGUAGCGAUCGUGGUAACGUUACUUUCCCGAAUCGCAGUCAGUUGAUGUAGCUCACUGCUUUUUGUCCCACGGCAACUUCGCCUUGUCCUGUUCGAGUUGCAGCGGAACACCGUCAACCGUCCCGACAAGCACACGAACCGAAAACCCUUCUUUCCUUGUUUGCAUAUACUUUCACGAACUGUCGAGUUGUUUACUCCAUCUCAAUCGCAUCUUCCCCGUUGUUUGACAUAUUUUCGCUAAAAUAACCGUUCUGUAGAAUAGCAGUCGUCCUCUCUUUAGACUUUCUUUCUUCCUCCACUCACUAACAUUCUGUACUCUGUGGCUACUCUUUCUCCUCCCCCCGGUUCUUCUCUCUCGGGUGUCGUGUUUCGCUCUCUCCUCACCGGGCCGCCCACACGGAGAGGGAGAGGGGGGCUCUAAGGGGCGGGUCACACCCACUCACCACGAGCCAGGGUGGCGUCACUGCUGCAGCACGCGGCGUCGCCAUGGAGACCGCCACAGCCACACUGCCGUGGUGACAUCAUAUCCGUGUCCUACGAUUCUAGAGGAGAGAAGGCCGUCACCACGUCCUUUUACGUCAAUAGCAGACAGACGCUGUGGAGAGAAAGACAGAGAGAUGGUGAAAGAAAGAGAACAGGGACACUGGAGCACCCCCCAACCCCCACAAACAUCACCCGCUGAACCCCUUCCCCAGCUAGACCCUCCAGCCCCCCUUCAAUAUCACCAGACCAUAUCCCCCCCAAACCCUGGAUGAACCUGAUAGAUUUACACCAAAACAUCCCUCUCCCUUUAAGUAGGGGUGUCCAGAACUAGACUCCCAGUGAGCUGGAGGGUCUGUUGGCUUUUUUCCAACCCAUCUCUAACACUCCUUAUUCAGUAGAGGGUUGGCCCACCCUGAUUUAGGAAAACCUACAGACCCGUAGAGAGCUCAGUCUCAGUCUCAGUACGGCAGUGUUAGUGUGCUGGGCCAGAACAAAACCCUGCACACCCUGUGUGUCUCCGAGAGCCAGGACUGAAUAUACAGUGAGCCCUAAUGCCUCCCUUGGUCUGUCUGUGGCGCUCCAACACAGAUUACUCUGUAAUUACCAGGGACAAUGGGUGUGGUACCCCACUCAGCAUCGCACCACAGGUGUGCUCACACACACACACACACACACACACACACACACACACACACACACAGAUAGGCCUACAGCAAACAGUGGAAAUCUACCAGGAUUAGGCAAAAUACCUGAACAGGGCAUUAUAUGGUGUAAUAUGCUAUGACUCAUAUGGCUGAUGACGUCAAACACACACGAACACACACACACAUACACACACACACACAAGAAGGGAUAUUAGUCCUAAGAGGUAAAAUCUAUGAUAUUUUUUAUCUUGAUUUCUCAAUCAGUGUGUUACCUUAUUAUUAUUAUCAUUAGUAUUAUCAUUAUUAUUAUUAGCAUUAUUAUUAGCAUUAUUAUUAUUAGCGUUAUUAUUAUUAUUAGCAUUAUUAUUAUUAGCAUAAAAAUGUCUACUUAACACCUCAGCUUGGAAAGAGAGAGACACUUUGAGGGGACUGGGAAAGAGGGUUCAAGUAGAUGAGAAGGAUUAGAGGCCAAAGAAUGAAAGAGGUGGCGGUUGAAAGGACAACAAGUUGCUGGGGUGUUGGAGGGUGGUGGUUGAAAGGACAACAAGUUGCUGGGGUGUUGGAGGGUGGCGGUUGAAAGGACAACAAGUUGCUGGGGUGUUGGAGGGUGGCGGUUGAAAGGAC